Molecule: non-coding RNA, 300 nt
Organism: Paramuricea clavata
Lineage: Eukaryota; Metazoa; Cnidaria; Anthozoa; Malacalcyonacea; Plexauridae
Source: the annotation of a GenBank genome assembly
CUGAGAGAGACAAGGGACUGAGAGAGACAAAGGACUGAGAGAGACAUGGAACUGAGAGAGACAAGGGACUGAGAGAGACAUGGAACUGAGAGAGACAAGGGACUGAGAGAGACAAAGGACUGAGAGAGACAUGGAACUGAGAGAGACAAGGGACUGAGAGAGACAUGGAACUGAGAGAGACAAGGGACUGAGAGAGACAAGGAACUGAGAGAGACAAGGGACUGAGAGAGACAAGGGACUGAGAGAGACAAGGGACUGAGAGAGACAUGGAACUGAGAGAGACAAGGGACUGAGAGAGAC